GACGAACGCUGGCGGCGUGCUUAACACAUGCAAGUCGAACGAUGACGACCGAGCUUGCUCGGUCUGAUUAGUGGCGAACGGGUGAGUAACACGUGAGCAACCUGCCCUUCACUCUGGGAUAGCCUCGGGAAAUCGGGGCUAAUACCGGAUAUGAGCUCCUGUCGCAUGGCGGGUGUUGGAAAGUUUUUCGGUGAAGGAUGGGCUCGCGGCCUAUCAGUUUGUUGGUGAGGUAGUGGCUCACCAAGGCGAUGACGGGUAGCCGGCCUGAGAGGGCGACCGGCCACACUGGGACUGAGACACGGCCCAGACUCCUACGGGAGGCAGCAGUGGGGAAUAUUGCACAAUGGGCGAAAGCCUGAUGCAGCGACGCCGCGUGAGGGAUGACGGCCUUCGGGUUGUAAACCUCUUUCAGCAGGGAAGAAGCGAAAGUGACGGUACCUGCAGAAGAAGCGCCGGCUAACUACGUG
Molecule: ribosomal RNA, 467 nt
Filed under: uncultured bacterium
Lineage: Bacteria
Description: partial 16S ribosomal RNA
Rfam family: Bacterial small subunit ribosomal RNA
Source: RNAcentral